CUGGGGACUUGGGGGAUUGCCUUGAAAGGGGGUUAUUUUUAGGGUGGCUGGAAAGCAAAGAAUCUGGACACACAGGAACCCACCAAAGACAAAGAGUCAGCCAUGUAUGUGCCUGACAGACUUGGAGCUGCUCAGAGAGAAGCCAGCUCAGACCCAGCGGACACGGCAAGUCCUGAGGGAUCAUAAAUCUUCAGACAUGAAUCAGGACUUCUGAGAAAAGAUCUUGACAAGAGACUCAGAGACUGCCCACACAGGUCAUGGGAACAGAGCACAAGGGGAAGCUCUAUCUCUGGCCAGCCGUUUGCCAAGUCCCUGCUCUGUGCAGUGCCCAAGCCCUUUGAAGGUAAUUAUCUCCCGGAUGCAAGUUACUGAUAUUAAUAAACAACCCCCUCAGUGGUUUGGAAAACUGAA
Long non-coding RNA from Erinaceus europaeus (western European hedgehog), 411 nucleotides. RefSeq lists it as uncharacterized. The transcript is spliced from 2 exons. The record is from RefSeq and is a predicted model, not a curated record. Lineage: Eukaryota; Metazoa; Chordata; Mammalia; Eulipotyphla; Erinaceidae.